ACCAUAUAUGGGCAUACAAAUUUACAAGGGCAGGCCGUGCAGAUAAACUCAUUUCAAGAUGGUUGCUACCUACAUUCCGGUCAGCAUUGUGAAGCAUAAACGUUGAUACACACCCAAAUCCGGGACUCCACAGAUCAUGAGGAUAUCUUAUUUGUCUGCCUGUGACCUACCAUUAUUGAUCACCAGCCCCGAGAGUCAACAUUUUUAUUUUACACAACGUUUUCACCGAACAGCAAACAUCUUACAAGGAACAGGGUACCUGUGACCCCUCCCUCUGUGAUGUCGACCCUGCGGACUCCAGGGGACAUGUACCAGCGCUCUGUGACGACACUCGCCAGGGCCACCUGCUCCCUGAAACCCUGACUCAUGUGUCCCCUGUACACAGAGAUGUGCACCACCAUGGGAGUGUGGACCUCCUUCUUCCUCAACCUACGAGAGGUAUUGGUCUCAUGCUCCACAUCAGACCCAUGGGCUCAACACCCUCAUAUGUCCCCCCUACACUUGGAUCCUUGAAGACUAUUAAUGACAUACAAGUUACUUGAAAGUACAGGGCGAAAAGUGUGAUUUGUGUAGCAAAAAAACAUGCAUUUUGUGACGGGUUUUUAUAUAGUUAUGAUGAAUAUGACACAAGUCUGAGUUUACAGAAUCCAUCAUAUUGUUAUUUCACUGUAAUUCCUUUAAAUAAAUGAAAUAA
Molecule: long non-coding RNA, 694 nt
Organism: Oncorhynchus tshawytscha (Chinook salmon)
Lineage: Eukaryota; Metazoa; Chordata; Actinopteri; Salmoniformes; Salmonidae
Exons: 3
Source: RefSeq, a predicted model, not a curated record